Molecule: ribosomal RNA, 301 nt
Filed under: uncultured bacterium
Lineage: Bacteria
Description: partial 16S ribosomal RNA
Rfam family: Bacterial small subunit ribosomal RNA
Source: RNAcentral
CAGCCGCCGCGGGAACACGGAGGGGGCUAGCGUUGUUCGGAAUUACUGGGCGUAAAGCGCACGUAGGCGGCUUGGUAAGUUAGAGGUGAAAGCCCGGAGCUCAACUCCGGAAUUGCCUUUAAGACUGCCGAGCUAGUAGGUGAGAGAGGUAAGUGGAAUUCCGAGUGUAGAGGUGAAAUUCGUAGAUAUUCGGAAGAACACCAGUGGCGAAGGCGGCUUACUAGCUCAUACUGGACGCUGAGGUGCGAAAGCGUGGGGAGUAAACAGGAUUAGAUACCCCCGUAGUCCUGUCUCUUAUACA